GACGAACGCUGGCGGCGUGCCUAAUACAUGCAAGUAGAACGCACAGUUUAUACCGUAGCUUGCUACACCAUAAACUGUGAGUUGCGAACGGGUGAGUAACGCGUAUGUAACCUGCCUGGUAGCGGGGGAUAACUAUUGGAAACGAUAGCUAAUACCGCAUAAUAUUAAUUAUUGCAUGAUAAUUGAUUGAAAGAUGCAAUUGCAUCACUACCAGAUGGACCUGCGUUGUAUUAGCUAGUAGGUGAGGUAACGGCUCACCUAGGCGACGAUACAUAGCCGACCUGAGAGGGUGAUCGGCCACACUGGGACUGAGACACGGCCCAGACUCCUACGGGAGGCAGCAGUAGGGAAUCUUUGGCAAUGGACGAAAGUCUGACCGAGCAACGCCGCGUGAGUGAAGAAGGUUUUCGGAUCGUAAAGCUCUGUUGUAAGAGAAGAACGGGUGUGAGAGUGGAAAGUUCACACUGUGACGGUAUCUUACCAGAAAGGGACGGCUAACUACGUG
RNAcentral lists this ribosomal RNA (505 nucleotides) under uncultured bacterium. RNAcentral describes it as "partial 16S ribosomal RNA". It matches the Rfam family "Bacterial small subunit ribosomal RNA", at positions 28 to 507 of the family's 1533-position model. The record is from RNAcentral.